GAUGAACGCUGGCGGCGUGCCUAAUACAUGCAAGUCGAGCGAACAGAUGAGGAGCUUGCUCCUCUGACGUUAGCGGCGGACGGGUGAGUAACACGUGGAUAACCUACCUAUAAGACUGGGAUAACUUCGGGAAACCGGAGCUAAUACCGGAUAAUAUAUUGAACCGCAUGGUUCAAUAGUGAAAGACGGUUUUGCUGUCACUUAUAGAUGGAUCCGCGCCGCAUUAGCUAGUUGGUAAGGUAACGGCUUACCAAGGCAACGAUGCGUAGCCGACCUGAGAGGGGGGUGGGCCACAGUGGAACGGAGACGCGGGCCGGACUCAAACGGGAGGCAGCAGAAGGGAUUCUUCGGAAAUGGCGGAAGGCUUGACGGAGCAACGCGGCGGGGGAAAUAAAGGUUUUGGAACCGUAAAAAUCUGUUAUUGGGGAAGAACAAGUGUGCAAGUAACAAUACCCGUCUGGAGGGUACCUAAUCAGAAAGCCACGGCUAACUACGUG
This 497-nucleotide ribosomal RNA is filed under the name uncultured bacterium. RNAcentral's name for it is "partial 16S ribosomal RNA". It matches the Rfam family "Bacterial small subunit ribosomal RNA", at positions 28 to 507 of the family's 1533-position model. The record is from RNAcentral.